RNAcentral lists this long non-coding RNA (442 nucleotides) under Physcomitrium patens. RNAcentral describes it as "long non-coding RNA (PPAT_LNC008381)". Lineage: Eukaryota; Viridiplantae; Streptophyta; Bryopsida; Funariales; Funariaceae. The record is from RNAcentral.
AUUGAUUUGCCCUUAUCUUUUGUCUCCGUUGUUUUUUCUCCCAAUGAUGCUGAGGUAUCCUUUACAGGCAAUUCUUGUGAAGCUGCCUCCCGAGCCUUGUCUCCUCGAGUUUGCCUCUUAAAAGAAUUUCCUUCUCUAAUAUCAUCAAAAUUUCCUCGUCUUUUUUCUUCCAUCAAAGCUUCAUGUUGGCUCUUAGCAAUAUAUGCAUGAACUGAAAGAGACUCAACAUGAUCCUCCCAACCUGUUCUUCCUCGUAUUGUAGCUGCAGUUCUCAAUAACGCUUCUCGAGGUAAUUUCCCUUCUUGCAUUGUAGAAACGGCAGAAGCCCAAAACUCACUAGUUUCCGUACUUCCACCAAUUUCAUCAUCUACUCUAGCACCAUAACUUGCACUUUCUCGUACUACUGUUUCAUGCUCUUUUAAGUAAUCUUGAACCAAUGCAC